Molecule: long non-coding RNA, 631 nt
Organism: Patiria miniata (bat star)
Lineage: Eukaryota; Metazoa; Echinodermata; Asteroidea; Valvatida; Asterinidae
Exons: 3
Source: RefSeq, a predicted model, not a curated record
ACUCCAGACCGACCACAGUUUAACCAGCUACAUGUAAAAAGAAUUCAACACAACGGCAAACUGGUUUGUUACUUAAACCAGGAGGAACCUUUCACUCGCGUACAGAACAAGUUCGAUUAGACAUAUGGCAGCACAGAAGGUACCUAGUUUCCUCGACAACCUGUUACAAGAACGAUGAAGAACGAUGAUGAAUGCCACCACUGCAUAUCGGUCACAGUUUAACCAGUGACAUGUAGGAGUCAUCGCUACGGGAAACUGACUGUUACUUAAACGAGUACGAAUCCCCACACGGGUACAGAAAGAAACUUGAUGAGAGAUGGCAACUCAGAGAGUACCUGGUUUCCUCGCCCAAGUGUUACAAGGUUCAGUAAUUGCAGAACGGGCACAAUUUCGUGUCUUGGACCCGAAGUACGGAAAGCGGUACAACGUGAAGAUUAAGGAAAAACGUCCAGAGUGCCAUCAACCUUGUUUUAAGUGUUUGCUUAGGCAACUGCAUUUCAAGAAACGCAAUCACAGUUAUUGCCCACUCUUAGUGAAACCGAUUCCGAACCACUUAGGCCUACCCGUGAAACAUUUACCAACGAAAACUUGACUGAUAUAUCUGCCACUGAAGACAUGGGCGUCGCGAGGG